CCCUGGAAGGACGCAGCCUUUAGUGUGGCUUCCAAGAGCCAGGACUUCGGAGCCGGAACACUCCUGUUCCCACCUGCAUGACCAUGGGCGGGAUACUGAACCCCGCUAUACCUCAGUUUCCUCCUCUGUAAAAUAACGAUAAUAAUACUUACCUCAUAGGAUUGUACCUUGUAUCAAAUGAGACAGUAUAGGUAAAGCUCUUUCGGACAACAUGCCAGUUACCUCGUGCUAGGUAGUACUAAUUUAAUUUCCUCAGGUGGAUCUCACCGAAUUCUUCAAAAUAACCUUGAGAACCUCAUUCUUUUAAUAUUUUGGGAGCAGUUAUUCUUUAUGGUAAAGCGUUUUAAAUUCCUCUUACUGCAGGCUACUACCCAGUGAUCCAUCAUCCUCUCUGGCCUUCUCAAAGGAUGUUCUAGAUAAGCUCCUUGAGUUCAAAUAGCCAGGUCGCUCAACAAUGUGUGCACCCCCAGACUCUACUCCACCCCAUCCCCCUCAGUGCCCAGGCCAGACCCCUGGCUUUUGCUUUCUGCAAACCCCCAACUAGAGUGGCCAGGUUCUCCCAGCAUGGGAUUUCUCCUGUAUCUUCCUUGACAACUUCUCUUCCCUGCCCCCGCUCACUCCCACCAUUUAUCUUAAAUUCCUCUCCCAACAUUGAAAAAUGUAAUGAAGUUAUUGUAAACAAUGAAGCAAUUCAAGAGUACAGAGAGGGAAGAAAACAUCCUCCCUCCACUAAUAAAUGGUAGCAGGUUGACGUGUGUUCUUCCAUGCCUUUCCCCGUGCUGUUACACACAUAUACACACAUACAUAUAUGGAGGUUGGCUUUGGGUUUCGCUUUGUUUCAUUUCUGCAAAAUUGUAAUAUGUAUUUCUCUGCAACCAAAUUCCUCAAGAGCAAUAGUUAAAUAUCUCCUUUUAAAUGGUGACAUAAUUCCUUCUAUUGAUGAAUAUUUA
This 950-nucleotide long non-coding RNA is filed under the name Homo sapiens (human). Its description in RNAcentral is "HSALNT0100619". The record is from RNAcentral. Lineage: Eukaryota; Metazoa; Chordata; Mammalia; Primates; Hominidae.